CCGGAAUCUCCUCGUGUCAUGGCUUACUUCCUCUUUAUCAAUCAGCCUCAAGGCAUACUUCACUUCAGGAUCCUUCAGAGUGAUUGCAGGACGGGGACUCCCAAAAAGCCUCCGGAUGGUGCUGUAGAUGAGCCAUAAUGGGUAUGUCACAACCCAACCCAGCGUGCUGAGCUGUGCCCCCAUCGCUGCCCUCCAGACCGAGCGGUG
This 207-nucleotide long non-coding RNA is filed under the name Gallus gallus (chicken). Lineage: Eukaryota; Metazoa; Chordata; Aves; Galliformes; Phasianidae. The record is from RNAcentral.